CUAUGGAAAUGAUCAACCAAUUCAUUUUGAGGGUCAAAACAAGAAUUUCUAAAACAUUUGUUCAUAAAGUCCUCAAGAACACACACAAAAAUAUUUUUCCUUGUUUCACAAAAUCAAAGCCAUUUCCUAACAUCCAUUUCCCUAUAAUGCUUAUAAACAACACCAAAAAUAAAAGCACAACACAAGUUUUCAAAGUUAUGAGCAUUUCAAAUAGAUUUUCCAAACCCUAACAAAAGAUUUCAUGAAAUUCUUAAUCACCAUGGAAACCAACAUGUGCCAAGCUUAAACUAGCUUAUAAACUACUCCUAAACACUUCCCUAGAACCACAAACACCCAAAACUUAUUCUAGAAAAUUUUACUCAAGAACAAGUCAUGACAAACUCUAAAAUUAUUCUAGAAAUCAUGACUUUUAGCUAGACAAAAGCAUGGAGAAGAUGAGUUACCUUAAGAGGAGUGAUUUCUUUGCAAGUUCCUAGUUCCAAGGAGACAAAUCCAAGCUUGAAUGGAUGAGAAAUGGAAAUUUCAAUGGUGAGGGUGAGUGAGAGAGGAGAGGGAAGAGUAGAGAGCUUUGCAAUUUUUUUUCUAAGUUAAAAAGUCUACCAAACAAAUCAUAUGACAAAAGUGGUCUUGCUCCAUCA
Molecule: long non-coding RNA, 638 nt
Filed under: Trifolium pratense (red clover)
Lineage: Eukaryota; Viridiplantae; Streptophyta; Magnoliopsida; Fabales; Fabaceae
Description: long non-coding RNA (TPRA_LNC009955)
Source: RNAcentral